Molecule: ribosomal RNA, 793 nt
Filed under: uncultured bacterium
Lineage: Bacteria
Description: bacterial SSU rRNA
Rfam family: Bacterial small subunit ribosomal RNA
Source: RNAcentral
AGAGUUUGAUCCUGGCUCAGGAUGAACGCUAGCGGCAGGCUUAACACAUGCAAGUCGAGGGGUAUAGGUUUUCGGACCUAGAGACCGGCGCACGGGUGCGUAACGCGUAUGCAAUCUACCUUUUGCAGAGGGAUAGCCCAGAGAAAUUUGGAUUAAUACCUCAUAGUAUUAUAGGAUGGCAUCAUUUUAUAAUUAAAGUCACAACGGCAAAAGAUGAGCAUGCGUCCCAUUAGCUAGAUGGUAAGGUAACGGCUUACCAUGGCUACGAUGGGUAGGGGUCCUGAGAGGAUGAUCAGCCACACUGGAACUGAGAUACGGUCCAGACUCCUACGGGAGGCAGCAGUGAGGAAUCUUGCGCAAUGGGGGCAACCCUGACGCAGCAACGCCGCGUGAGUGAGGAAGGUCUUCGGAUCGUAAAGCUCUGUCAGUUGGGAAGAAAUGCCUGUUGGUUAAUACCCUUCAGGCUUGACGGUACCAACAGAGGAAGCACCGGCUAACUCCGUGCCAGCAGCCGCGGUAAUACGGGGGGUGCAAGCGUUGUUCGGAUUUAUUGGGCGUAAAGCGCGUGUAGGCGGUUUUAUAAGUCUGAUGUGAAAGCCCUGGGCUCAACCCGGGAAGUGCAUUGGAUACUGUAAGACUUGAAUACGGGAGAGGGCAGUGGAAUUCCUAGUGUAGGAGUGAAAUCCGUAGAUAUUAGGAGGAACACCGGUGGCGAAGGCGGCUGCCUGGACCGAUAUUGACGCUGAGACGCGAAAGCGUGGGUAGCAAACAGGAUUAGAUACCCUGGUAGUCC